AGCGAGCGGAAGCUGAAGAAGGGGAGUGCGACAGGAAGUAGUUGACACGACUUUAUGAGUAUUUUGUUGGGCCUUCACUUUGCUGAGCAAUUAACCGUUUGGCUGAAAGCGUGGUGUCAGCUCCACUGCUCCUCAGACUGAGCGCUGUGGGCUGUUCAUCACUUUUACAACUCAUUUUCUCCCCAAACACUUCACACUGCACGUCUACAUACGACCUCAGCAGUAGUGCUGCUGCUGCUGCUCUGUCCUUGAGUUCCCGGUGACAGGUAAAUAUACUCUCUCGUCCAAACACAUGUCCCACAUGGUCUAUAUUUGACUUACGGGAGGUCAGCUGGACGGAUAUCGAUGCCGCACUUCAUUUUUAGAGGCCUGAUGAUGUCAUGUUGCAGUCGGUUGUGGGUUAUGGCUGUGCUAACCUGUUGCUGCGGGAAAAUAAGCUGAGGCCACAGCAGUGAUUGACAGCACAUCGCUCCACUCAAGACAUCCCACAGGGAUCAUCAUCAGGUCACACGAGCGGGAAGAAUGAAUGGAGCGACGCGGCGUUGUCACUCAAACGCAAUGGAUCACUUGAACUCCAUUGGCCUGCUGUAAUGACCCUGUGUAAGGACCUGUAAUGUGGUUUUUCCCACCGGGUUUGGGAGAAACCCUAUGCCCAGUCAUUCAGGUGGAGCAAUAAAGUGCUUUUCACUUUCUGAGGACUUCCUGUCUCCAGCGGUGUUCUCCAUUAACUCGUCACAGACGCACAGGAGCCCUCUGAUUGGUCCAGACGCUCUUUAUCGCUGCAGUUAUUCCCAGUAGGUACGGCGCUACCUGGACCCGAGAUAAGAUAGGACAACGGCCGUCUGUCAUUACUGGCUGAUGAAGGCUAUCUGAAUAUUGACCGCUGAUUACACCGCCUGUUGAGAAACACACUUGGACUUGUGGGACAGUUGCACACAGGCCUUUUAUUGUCAGGGGUAUAAGAUGGAAUAAAGAAGCAGGGUUCCCUGUGGUAACUCCUUCUGCUCCUCCUCCUCCUACCACUGCUGCUGCGCCUCCUUCCUUAGUUGCAUUCUAUUUAUUCACACCAGCUGCAGUGAUGGGCUAAAAAAGUUUUUGACACCGACUAUUGCUUUUCAUCACUGCAGCUUCCGACUGCUAACAGGGACAGAGCUACCCCCUGCACCCCCCCACUCCCACCCCCCCUGUACUCCAGAACUGUCCAAACGUUUUUCUGAUGAGCCAGAUUUAAUCAUGUAAAAAUAUCUGAGGGACAACUGCUUCUCCUGUGGAAAUAAAUACUAAAUUUAGGUGACAAACACCUGUACGCCUUUUGUUUUUAAAAUGUCCAUAAUAAACUAGCUUUAUUGGAAUAAAUGAGAUGAAGCAAUUUUUCAUGUUUUGACAAGAUUUCCAUAAAGAAAGAUGACUAGGAAAGUAGAGAAUGUAGAUGAACUAUUUUUAAACAAAAACAAUCUACUAUUUAGUGUCAUCAAUGUGC
Molecule: long non-coding RNA, 1480 nt
Organism: Cynoglossus semilaevis (tongue sole)
Lineage: Eukaryota; Metazoa; Chordata; Actinopteri; Pleuronectiformes; Cynoglossidae
Exons: 2
Source: RefSeq, a predicted model, not a curated record